Molecule: ribosomal RNA, 445 nt
Filed under: uncultured bacterium
Lineage: Bacteria
Description: partial 16S ribosomal RNA
Rfam family: Bacterial small subunit ribosomal RNA
Source: RNAcentral
GUGAGGAAUAUUGGACAAUGGGCGCAAGCCUGAUCCAGCCAUGCCGCGUGCAGGAAGACGCAUCUAUGGUGUGUAAACUGCUUUUGUACGGGAAGAAACACUCCCUCGUGAGGGAGCUUGACGGUACCGUAAGAAUAAGGAUCGGCUAACUCCGUGCCAGCAGCCGCGGUAAUACGGAGGAUCCAAGCGUUAUCCGGCAUCAUUGGGUUUAAAGGGUCCGUAGGCGGUUUAAUAAGUCAGUGGUGAAAGCCCAUCGCUCAACGAUGGAACGGGCAUUGAUACUGUUAGACUUGAAUUACAAGGAAGUAACUAGAAUAUGUAGUGUAGCGGUGAAAUGCUUAGAUAUUACAUGGAAUACCAAUUGCGAAGGCAGGUUACUACUUGUGGAUUGACGCUGAUGGACGAAAGCGUGGGGAGCGAACAGGAUUAGAUACCCUAGUAGUCC